GGGGCCGCGCCCUCGCUGAGAGCCGCGUUCUGCCGGGGCCAGUGACUGCAAGGACAACGUUGCUCUCCUACCUUCCGCGCUCACUGACAUCUAAACCCUUAAAUGACUCCUGCGUUAGUCAGGUAGGAAUGUGGCUUUCCAACUCCAGACCUGGUAUCACAUCGGACAAGAAAACACCAGGUCAGCCCGUUGUAAUCUAGAGGCCAAGACAGCAAGUUCUCUGACAUAAUCAAGAAUGAAUAAUCCUAGGUCGGACUUUGCCUUCCACUGGGCAGAGCACCUUCUCAGGAUCGCGAGUUUCCAAUCCAGACUUGCCCGGUACAAAGCCCAUAUUAGUGUGUUAAGAUGUCCCUGCUCUUGGGAGUUCAUCCCUUCCUGACCAGGCUUGAGGUGUGCAGCGUCAGCCUCAAAGAAGAUUGCAGUGUUUGAAGUCUGUGUGGAGACUAAAGACAAUUGUUAUUCAAACUUAAAAACCUUUUUUUCAAGCAUAUUUUUCGAUAUCCAGUUUAUUAUUGUAAGCAAUUGGGACAGGCUGUCAGCUAGUAGGGGAGGAAGUCCUUAAAUUCGCCAGCACAGCGCUAAACGGAUUGCAUAACUUCCAAAAAGAAAGGAUCUGCGGGGGCCAAAAUUUAGAGAACUGAGUCUAAGUUACAAAGUAUAUCUAAUAAGUCCGGUUUUAUUGCUUUUACAGCAACUGCUUCCUGCUUUAUCUGAAGUCCUAGAGCAGCAACUUGAAUUCUCCAGGCUAAACCUCCACUUCAAAAGCAAAAUAACAGAAAAAGAGAAUUUUAAACCCAAUGAUCUGCAAAAUACAUAUACCCGACAUUCCCCAUUUGGAGUCUAUGCGACAUUUCAGAGUGUGUGUGUACAAAUCUGGUUCCACUUUUCUUGUCCCAAACAUCCCCCAUCCACAGCCUUAAAUGUCCCAAUUAAUAAGACACCAUUAUCACCAUCCAGGUUCCCCAGGGUUCAUCCUAGUAUCUUCUUAAUUUCUUUCUCCUCUAUGCAACAAAGUUUGGUACAGCCUUCUACCUCAACUUUCAAAGUUCUAAUAGAUGUGUAUUCCAGUCCCUACCACCUUUCCUACAGUGAUCAUGGUCCAAAGCACUACAACCCUCUGAUUGCAUUUUUCUAUAGUUAUAUCCCUAGUACCCUUUUUCUUUCUUUCCUUCUUCCUUUCUUUCUUCCUUUCUUUCUUUCUUUCUUUCUUCCUUCCCUCCUUUCUUGUUUCUUUGUUUCUUGUUUAUUUGUUAGUUUGUUUUCCUCUGAGUAGCCCAUUCUCAUGACAGCAGCCGGUGUAAAUGUGCUCCCGUGAGUCACUGCUUAUCUUCCAUGACAUUCAUCCCACAAGCCUAGAACUCUGUGGCCUCAAUGACCCCUGAACCUAGUCCUCCAACCUGUGACCUCUUCUGACCUACUCUCAUAUCCACUAUGUUCCCUACUCAGUUCCUCAGGCACACGAGCUUCCAUGCUGUUUCUAAAGAAAUAAAGCAAAUGUGGAUCUCCUGGCCUUCCAUCUGCUGUUCCUUCUACUGCUGUGUUGGCUCUACCUUUCCCCUUCCACCCACGGAAGAAAAAGAAAACAUAUGUAACAGAUGGAAUGCUGCUUUCCACCUCCUUUGCUCUUCUCUCAUCUUUAUUCAAAUAUCAUCUUCCCCAUGGUUGCGUAGCCUACCUUCCUGGCUUUAUUUAACACCUAACCUGCAUAUUGUAUUUUACUCAUUUUGUAUUUUCUUACUCCACUGUAAUGUCAGCUGUGCACGUCAAUGAUUUUUAUUUUGUUGACCUCUAUACCAACUAGUAUUAUUGGAUGGAUACUCGAAUUACUCAAAUACCUUAUAGUUGUAUGAUAUAUAUUAUUAUCACACCUAUAUGGUGGGAAAAAGGAAGUUGCAAGAGGACACACAAGCCCACUAAGCCUGUCUUCUGUCCUACAGAAAGAAUGCAUUUACUUCGUGCUGAAGAUUUGCAAGUAUCAAAUACAACACAUGCAAAGAUGUUGCACAGUGCUUGAGCCAUAGUAUGAACUCAACAAAUAGUUGUUAUUUUUAAGAUCAUAUUCGUCAUCCCCACCCUUUGAGGUUUGUGGACAGUUAUUAUCAUCCUGUUUACAGAUGGGGAAACUGGCAAUAAAGUGGGCUGUGUGAUUUGCCCUA
RNAcentral lists this long non-coding RNA (2156 nucleotides) under Mus musculus (house mouse). Its description in RNAcentral is "RIKEN cDNA 6430573P05 gene, transcript variant 4 (6430573P05Rik)". The record is from RNAcentral. Lineage: Eukaryota; Metazoa; Chordata; Mammalia; Rodentia; Muridae.